GACGAACGCUGGCGGCGUGCCUAAUACAUGCAAGUUGAGCGCUGAAGGUUGGUACUUGUACCAACUGGAUGAGCAGCGAACGGGUGAGUAACGCGUGGGUAAUCUGCCUUUGAGCGGGGGACAACAUUUGGAAACGCAUGCUAAUACCGCAUAAAAACUUUAAACACAAGUUUUAAGUUUGAAAGAUGCAAUUUCAUGACUCAAAGAUGAUCCCGCGUUGUAUUAGUUAGUUGGUGAGGUAAAGGCUCACCAAGGCGAUGAUACAUAGCCGACCUGAGAGGGUGAUCGGCCACAUUGGGACUGAGACACAGCCCAAACUCCUACGGGAGGCAGCCGUAGGGAAUCUUCGGCAAUGGACGGAAGUCUCACCGAGCAACGCCGCGUGAGUGAAGAAGGUUUUCGGAGCGUAAAACUCUGUUGGUAGAGAAGAACGUUGGUGAGAGUGGAAAGCUCAUCAAGUGACGGUAACUACCCAGAAAGGGACGGCUAACUACGUG
RNAcentral lists this ribosomal RNA (497 nucleotides) under uncultured bacterium. RNAcentral describes it as "partial 16S ribosomal RNA". It matches the Rfam family "Bacterial small subunit ribosomal RNA", at positions 28 to 507 of the family's 1533-position model. The record is from RNAcentral.